Molecule: ribosomal RNA, 251 nt
Filed under: uncultured bacterium
Lineage: Bacteria
Description: partial 16S ribosomal RNA
Rfam family: Bacterial small subunit ribosomal RNA
Source: RNAcentral
AGUCGAACGAGACCUUCGGGUCUAGUGGCGCACGGGUGCGUAACGCGUGGGAAUCUGCCCUUGGGUUCGGAAUAACGUCGGGAAACUGACGCUAAUACCGGAUGAUGACGUAAGUCCAAAGAUUUAUCGCCCAGGGAUGAGCCCGCGUAGGAUUAGGUAGUUGGUGAGGUAAAGGCUCACCAAGCCGACGAUCCUUAGCUGGUCUGAGAGGAUGAUCAGCCACACUGGGACUGAGACACGGCCCAGACUCC